Labeo rohita (rohu) is the source of this 810-nucleotide long non-coding RNA. RefSeq lists it as uncharacterized. NCBI's taxonomy places the organism in Eukaryota, Metazoa, Chordata, Actinopteri, Cypriniformes, Cyprinidae. The transcript has 2 exons. The record is from RefSeq and is a predicted model, not a curated record.
AAUUUCAACAGUCACCAAGUUCAGCACUGCAGCCUGAACCCAUCAGGUAUCUGCUGUGAGGACUGCAUUCAUGAACGGCUCUACUGUGACAGCUCAGAUGUUACGGUCCAUAAAAGUAAACUUCACAACUGAUCAACUGCGAGAUAGUUAUGGAGGGAUUCUUUUGGCCCAUACCUCCAACAACCUCCAACAGGAGUCAAUGGACAUCUACACCAGGUGGUGUGUGAGGAGGACCGUCAGAGACUCCAGUCACCCAAGCCAUGGACUGCUCUUACCGUUACCAUCAGGCAGAUGUUAUUGCAGAACCUACACCAGCAGACUGCAAGACAAAUUCUUUCCACGGGCAAUCAGACUGAACUGAACUCGUACUAGUAACACACAGCACAUCAACCUCGUAUGUACUGCACUCUAUCAUUUACACUGACUGGACUCUGACUCACUAUUAUUCUGUAUCCUGACAUUCUGUUUGCACUAAUUCAUACUGUAGUGCACUGCAAUGGUAUAUGUGUACUGUAAUUAUUGUGUUUAUUACUGUUUUCAUUUCAUGCUCUCUGUAUAGUAUAAUAUUUACCGUAUGUUGUUCUUUAGCUGUAUUGAGUCCCUUAUAUAUGUGUGUUGCAUAUAUAUAUAUAUAUAUAUAUAUAUAUAUAUAUAUAUAUAUAUAUAUAUAUAUAUAUAUAUAUAUAUAUAUAUAUAUAUAUAUUUAAUACUUGUCAUCCAUACUGUCAUGCUGCAGUUUGCACAAAAGACUUUCACCACCUGUACACUUACGUUCAUAAUAUUGUUGUAAAUAAAGUGAUUUGAUUUGAA